Molecule: unclassified non-coding RNA, 223 nt
Filed under: Hevea brasiliensis (rubber tree)
Lineage: Eukaryota; Viridiplantae; Streptophyta; Magnoliopsida; Malpighiales; Euphorbiaceae
Source: RNAcentral
UCUGUCAAUCUUAUCCCCUACAGGAACAUUGCUGAUGCAAGACAGCAUCUUAUGCGAAUGCAGGGUGUCCAUGAUGUUGAUAUACACCACCCCAUUUUAUGCUCAAGUAUCAAUUGAUGUUACACAUUUUGAAUAUGAAGCAUAAUUUCCGCUCUAAUAUAAUAUAAAGUAAUAAUUCUUUAGGUAGAUCAUUGAUUUCAAGCCACCAAACCUAUGCAGAAGA